Molecule: long non-coding RNA, 393 nt
Organism: Drosophila kikkawai
Lineage: Eukaryota; Metazoa; Arthropoda; Insecta; Diptera; Drosophilidae
Source: RefSeq, a predicted model, not a curated record
CGAGAAUUUUCGGUGUUCGGUUUUGUCUUCUAAUUCUCUUUGCAUUUUGAGUUGACUGCUGUUGCAUUCAGAAGUGUUUUGCGUAUUAGUUGCGUAAAAAUGAAAUAUUAUAAGGUAAGUGGAACUUAUUUGCAUUCAAUUAUUAAUUUUAAUUGCAGAAUUGACGAUUAAAAUGGAUGCGACUUCAACUUAGACGGUGUGAAUGGGAUUCAGUACGGAUUUACAAAGUUUUUUUUAUCCAGUUUAAGUUGAUAAAACAAGUUUCUUAAAGGACCCAGCAGCCGGCAAAGGAGACUCGUGACACGCAUAUAUACAUGUUUAAUUUUGCAGAAAAAUGUAAUGCUACCAAAAAAGUGAAGAUAAAUAAAAAAAUGCAAUCCAUAAAUAAAUAAG